AUUGAACGCUGGCGGCAGGCCUAACACAUGCAAGUCGAGCGGAUGAAGGGAGCUUGCUCCUGGAUUCAGCGGCGGACGGGUGAGUAAUGCCUAGGAAUCUGCCUGGUAGUGGGGGAUAACGUCCGGAAACGGGCGCUAAUACCGCAUACGUCCUGCGGGAGAAAGUGGGGGAUCUUCGGACCUCACGCUAUCAGAUGAGCCUAGGUCGGAUUAGCUAGUUGGUGGGGUAAAGGCCUACCAAGGCGACGAUCCGUAACUGGUCUGAGAGGAUGAUCAGUCACACUGGAACGGAGACACGGUCCAGACUCCUACGGGAGGCAGCAGUGGGGAAUAUUGGACAAUGGGCGAAGGCCUGAUCCAGCCAUGCCGCGUGUGUGAAGAAGGUCUUCGGAUUGUAAAGCACUUUAAGUUGGGAGAAAGGGCAGUAAGUUAAUACCUUGCUGUUUUGACGGUACCAACAGAAUAAGCACCGGCUAACUUCGUG
Molecule: ribosomal RNA, 484 nt
Filed under: uncultured bacterium
Lineage: Bacteria
Description: partial 16S ribosomal RNA
Rfam family: Bacterial small subunit ribosomal RNA
Source: RNAcentral